GAAGGGCUUUAUUUACUAAGUUAUGGGUCAGUCGGGUUGGAAAGAAAUGUUAGGAUCAUUAAGGAUCAUUCUUGCCUCUCUUUCCCUUUAGGAUAAGAUGACCUUUUGGCACUUCUCUUUGUCAAGGCACACACGCACUUUAAGGAUUUUUUCUUUUCCUAUUUUGCACAGAGAUUGGUGGACCAUUCUUUAUUGAGUAUUGCCUGUUUAUCUCUUUUAUUUUC
Molecule: long non-coding RNA, 224 nt
Filed under: Carica papaya (papaya)
Lineage: Eukaryota; Viridiplantae; Streptophyta; Magnoliopsida; Brassicales; Caricaceae
Description: long non-coding RNA (CPAP_LNC014347)
Source: RNAcentral